This is a long non-coding RNA of Ananas comosus (pineapple), 223 nucleotides long. RefSeq lists it as uncharacterized. The record is from RefSeq and is a predicted model, not a curated record. The transcript is spliced from 3 exons. Lineage: Eukaryota; Viridiplantae; Streptophyta; Magnoliopsida; Poales; Bromeliaceae.
GGUUCGCUGGAUUCAGGACUUCGAGAGGAAUCCACGAAGCCCUUAUUUGCUGGAUUUGGUGAAGAGUGUAGAGUUAGCUCGAUUCUGGACUCGGCGGAUUCCGGUUGAUCCAGCAGGUCGCUCUACACCAGUGGGAGUCCUUCGCUGCCAGGGAUUAGCUUUUUGAGAGCCACAGGUUUCGGCUGCUGUGCCUUCCGCGGAUCAGGAUCGAGGUAAGGGCGUC